RNAcentral lists this ribosomal RNA (253 nucleotides) under uncultured bacterium. Its description in RNAcentral is "partial 16S ribosomal RNA". It matches the Rfam family "Bacterial small subunit ribosomal RNA", at positions 524 to 776 of the family's 1533-position model. The record is from RNAcentral.
UACGUAGGGGGCAAGCGUUAUCCGGAUUUACUGGGUGUAAAGGGAGCGUAGACGGCAAAGCAAGUCUGAAGUGAAAGCCCGGGGCUCAACCCCGGGACUGCUUUGGAAACUGUUCUGCUAGAGUGCUGGAGAGGUAAGCGGAAUACCUAGUGUAGCGGUGAAAUGCGUAGAUAUUAGGAGGAACACCAGUGGCGAAGGCGGCUUACUGGACAGUAACUGACGUUGAGGCUCGAAAGCGUGGGGAGCAAACAGG